This 405-nucleotide ribosomal RNA is filed under the name Acanthamoeba genotype T3. RNAcentral's name for it is "SSU rRNA". It matches the Rfam family "Eukaryotic small subunit ribosomal RNA", at positions 794 to 1085 of the family's 1831-position model. Lineage: Eukaryota; Discosea; Longamoebia; Acanthamoebidae. The record is from RNAcentral.
ACCGAAUACAUUAGCAUGGGAUAAUGGAAUAGGACCCUGUCCUCCUAUUUUCAGUUGGUUUGCCGCGAGGACCAGGGUAAUGAUUAAUAGGGAUAGUUGGGGGCAUUAAUAUUUAAUUGUCAGAGGUGAAAUUCUUGGAUUUAUGAAAGAUUAACUUCUGCGAAAGCAUCUGCCAAGGAUGUUUUCAUUAAUCAAGAAAGAAAGUACCGGGAUCGAAGAAGAUCAGAUACCGUCGUAGUCUUAACCAUAAACGAUGCCGACCAGCGAUUACGAGACGUUGAAUACACAAACACCACCAUGCGCAUUGAAGGUCGUCUCUUCGUAUGUACGCUCACAAGAGGGCACCGGGCGGCUUAAACCUCGAUGGGAAAAGGCUGAAUCGACUACCCUAGCCGACUCUGUGCG